ACGUAGGGUGCGAGCGUUAAUCGGAAUUACUGGGCGUAAAGCGUGCGCAGGCGGGCUUUUAAGCCAGACGUGAAAUCCCCGGGCUCAACCUGGGAACUGCCUUUGUGACUGCAUAGCUAGAGUACGGUAGAGGGGGAUGGAAUUCCGCGUGUAGCAGUGAAAUGCGUAGAUAUGCGGAGGAACACCGAUGGCGAAGGCAAUCCCCUGGACCUGUACUGACGCUCAUGCACGAAAGCGUGGGGAGCAAACAGGA
RNAcentral lists this ribosomal RNA (253 nucleotides) under uncultured prokaryote. RNAcentral's name for it is "partial 16S ribosomal RNA". It matches the Rfam family "Bacterial small subunit ribosomal RNA", at positions 525 to 777 of the family's 1533-position model. The record is from RNAcentral.